Long non-coding RNA from Juglans microcarpa x Juglans regia, 2643 nucleotides. RefSeq lists it as uncharacterized. The transcript is spliced from 5 exons. Lineage: Eukaryota; Viridiplantae; Streptophyta; Magnoliopsida; Fagales; Juglandaceae. The record is from RefSeq and is a predicted model, not a curated record.
CCGUUGGUGUUUGACUGCAGAAUCAGAUCCAGACCUCUCUUUUCUCUCUCUCUCGCCGAAACCCUAACCUUCGAGCUUCCGCCGCCGUUUCUCUCUCGCCGGAUCUUUCAAGCGUCAGCUUCGACAGACAACGCCGCCGGAAGUUUUUCUCCCGCUGAACCUGUAGAACAGAUGGAAGAAGAUACAUUGAGUUGUAAUAUUGGGGGUGGUGGGGGUGGUGAUCACUCUUCUUCUAUUCCAGUGGAUGUAGAGGAGCAUGGGAUUCUUCCUACACCUUCAUCCACAUAUACCCAAAACCCUACACAUUUCAUCCCAUCUUUAGCCAAGAAACCCAAAAAAGCAUCUAGCAAUCAAUCAGUGGUAUGGAAACACUUUACUAAAGUGGAGCCUAUUGACCAUGAUAACUCGAAAGCUCAAUGCAAUUAUUGCGCCAAGCUGUUUAAUUGCCACUAUAAGAAUAGUACUUCGUUCAUGAUGCACCACCUCCACAAUGCUUGUGAAACUUCUCCUCUUAGAAUUAAAAGGGUUGAAAAAAGUCAAACCUCGAGUGUUAAGAGAGAUGCAAAGGGACGAGUGUGUAGUCCACAAGGGCUUGUAAAGUAUGAUCCAGAAAAACUUAGGGUGUCAACUGCUAAGUUUUUUAUUAGAUGUGAAUUGCCUUUUUGGCUUGUGGAGGACGAUAGGUUUAUAGAGUUCGUGACUGAUGUGGAGUCUAGAUUUACUUUGCCAUCCCAAACCACUUUACAAAGGGAUUGUAUUAAGUUAUAUCAUGAAGAGAAGAUAAAGUUAAAGAAGUUGUUGGGUGGUCAAAGGAUUUGUCUUACCGUUGAUACUUGGACAUCGGUGCAAAAUAUGAACUACAUGUGUAUUACCGCACAUUUCAUUGAUUGCAAUUGGAGAUUGCAUAAGAAAAUUCUUAAGUUUUGCCAAAUUCCUGACCCUGAGGGCGAAACUAUUGGGAGGGUAUUGGACUUGGGAUUUACAUGAGUGGGGGAUUGAUAAAAUUUUGACCAUCACCAUUGAUAACGCCUCCUCUAAUGUUGUUUCCAUUGAUUACAUGAGUAAGAGGAUAAAGGACAAUAAUUGUACCAUAUUGGGUGGUGAAUUUCUUCAUGUGCGGUGUGCUGCCCAUAUAUUAAACUUGAUUGUUAUGGAUGGUUUGAAAGAUGUUUAUGACUUUGUAACAAGAAUUAGGGAUGCCGUCAGAUAUGUGAAGUCUUCACCAUUAAGAUUUGCGAAGUUUAAGGCUUGUGCAGUAAGGGCAAAUAUUGGUGGGAGGAUGAUUUGUUUGGAUGUUCCUACUAGAUGGAGCUCCACAUAUUUGAUGUUGAGUACUGCUGAAAAACAUCAACAAGCAUUUGAACAAUAUGUUUAUGAGGAUGCUCAGUUUGUGAACCCCACUUGUGAUGAUUGGAAAAAUGCACGAAUAUUUGUAGAGUUGCUGAAAAUUUUUUAUAAAGUUACAUUGAACAUUUCUGGUUCUUUAUAUGUGACUGCUAAUGUAUAUUUCUAGGAACUAUGCAUAAUUGAAGACAUAUUAAAUGAUAUGUGUAUGAGUGAUGAUAUUAUUACUAAUACCAUGGGCAAAAAUAUGAAAAAUAAGUAUGACAAGUAUUGGGGUAGCGCAGAUAGGUUCAACUUGAUGAUAUAUGUUGCUUUCGUGCUUGAUCCACAAUAUAAGAUGAUGGCUAUGAGGUUUUGGUUGAAAACGUGCAAAGGGGAUGAGUUGGCGGAUAGGAUAGAGGCCAAGGUUAAACUCAUUUUAAGCCGCUUGAUCGAGCAAUACGAUACAUUUCGUGUGGUUAAAGGCCAAGCACUACUUCUAAUGAGACAGCACCGCCUCCAAGUAAAUUUGAUAUCAUGCUUGCCAAAUUCUUUGAGGAGCAGGGUUUUAUGGGGUUUGGAUCAGAACUAGAGAGGUAUUUGUCCGAGGGGUGUGUAAAACGAUCACCCAAUUUUGAUAUUUUAGAUUGGUAGAGAAUUAAUGCCAUGAAUUAUCCUAUCCUUGCUGAGGUAGCACAUGAUGUGUUAGCCAUCCCCAUUUCCACUGUUGCCUUGGAGUCUGCAUUUAGUGCUGAAGGAUGCAUCUUGGAUCCUUUUAGGAAUUCAUUAUCUCCAGAGACUACUGAAGCCCUCAUUUGCACCCAAAAUUGGUUUAGGACCAAAGCAGUCGACAUCCAGAAGUUAGAAGAAUACUUGGAAUCGAUUGACCUUGAAGAUGAUCAUCCAACUUCAUCUUCAGCGUGAUGAGGACCAAGCGUUAACUUUUGUUGAUAGAGUUGAUGGCUGGCUGCAGAAUUGCUGUUAGGGAUGGGGCAUCUUGGAUUGUUUUCCUGCAUCAAUGGAGGCAUGUUUUGCCUUGGUUAUCAUUUUGUCGUCAUCUUUGCCCAUCUUGGCACAGCUUUUGGUUUCCUUGCUGCCACCAUGGCCAUUCAGAGGAUCUGGCAGAGACACAGAGAGGGAGCUCACUAAGUGGGAGCGGAGAGGACUAUACGCCAAGCACCUGGCUUGAUGCAUCCUUCUUCAACACCAUUGUCAAAUAAUGAGAUCAAGGAAUUAUAGUAAUUCAUAAAUUGUAAUUUUGUAUCUCACAUCUUGUAAUUUUGUGCUUUUGUAAUGUAUAAAUACCAAACAAUGUAAAUA